AGAGUUUGAUCCUGGCUCAGGACGAACGCUGGCGGCGUGCUUAACACAUGCAAGUCGAACGAUGAAGGGGAGCUUGCUCCCUGGAUUAGUGGCGAACGGGUGAGUAACACGUGAGCAACCUGCCCCUAACUCUGGGAUAACGCUUCGAAAGGAGUGCUAAUACCGGAUAUGAGCCUGGAAGACAUCUUCUGGGUUGGAAAGUUUUUCGGUUAGGGAUGGGCUCGCGGCCUAUCAGCUUGUUGGUGAGGUAAAGGCUCACCAAGGCGACGACGGGUAUCCGGCCUGAGAGGGCGACCGGACACACUGGGACUGAGACACGGCCCAGACUCCUACGGGAGGCAGCAGUGGGGAAUAUUGCGCAAUGGGCGAAAGCCUGACGCAGCGACGCCGCGUGAGGGAUGAAGGUCUUCGGAUUGUAAACCUCUUUCAGCAGGGACGAAGCGAAAGUGACGGUACCUGAAGAAGAAGCACCGGCUAACUACGUGCCAGCAGCCGCGGUAAUACGUAGGGUGCAAGCGUUGUCCGGAUUUAUUGGGCGUAAAGAGCUCGUAGGCGGUUAGACACGUCGGAUGUGAAAACUGGGGGCUCAACCCCCAGCCUGCAUUCGAUACGGUCUGACUAGAGUGUGGUNNNGGUAACUGGAAUUCCUGGUGUAGCGGUGAAAUGCGCAGAUAUCANNNNNAACACCGAUGGCGANNNCAGGUUACUGGGCCACCACUGACGCUG
Molecule: ribosomal RNA, 726 nt
Filed under: uncultured bacterium
Lineage: Bacteria
Description: bacterial SSU rRNA
Rfam family: Bacterial small subunit ribosomal RNA
Source: RNAcentral